RNAcentral lists this long non-coding RNA (266 nucleotides) under Sander lucioperca (pikeperch). Its description in RNAcentral is "lncRNA (ENSSLUG00000021602.1)". Lineage: Eukaryota; Metazoa; Chordata; Actinopteri; Perciformes; Percidae. The record is from RNAcentral.
CGACAAGGAGAAGACAUGUAUGCGCUUGUGAAAUGGUGUGCCGGGUCGAUGAGGGGAAAUUUAGUAUUGUUCACAUUAAAUACAUACGAAAUUUUGAUCUGGAAAGUUUUCUAAACGGCGUGAUUACCUACGAAGACGAAUUUGCCGUCGAGUGGGGUGUGGGAAAACGGCCAAAAGGUGGAUUCCCCAUUUAUAUGGCUACCUUCAAUCAGUUGGAGGGCUCGACAUUAACUGUACGUCCACACCGCCGCCGACUUGAGCUGUAA